Molecule: small RNA, 95 nt
Filed under: Flavobacterium lacus
Lineage: Bacteria; Pseudomonadati; Bacteroidota; Flavobacteriia; Flavobacteriales; Flavobacteriaceae
Description: Flavo-1 RNA
Source: RNAcentral
UUUUAGCCCCGACCUGCCUGCCGGCAGGCAGGUUGCAGCAGUAUCCUUUUGUGUAGCUUGCGGAACGAAAGAUAGAGCGGAAAGCGGGAACAUGG